CUAUAUAUCUCAUUGUACAGGAGACGUCUUCUAGUUUGGAUCUGACCCUCCAGAAACAUCAAGAUGAUUUCUCCCAGUUAUCUGCUGGCUGUCAUCUUCAUUUCUAUUCAGGGAUCCUGUGGAGAGAUUGUGAUGACUCAGACUCCGGAUUCUAGCUCUGUGUCCCCGGGACAGACAGUCACCAUCACAUGUACAUCCAGUACUGACCUAACUAAACAUAAUUUGAUUAGAGCUAGGUAUAUUAGCUAUUUAGCCUGGUACCAACAAAAGUCCCAACAACCUCCAAAGCUUCUUAUCUAUCAGGCCAGCACUCGGCAAUCCGGGAUCCCGGACAGGUUCAGUGGUUCAGGAUCUGGAACUGAAUUUAAACUAACUAUCUCCAGAAUGACUGAAGAUGAUGAAGCGAGGUAUUAUUGUCAGCAGUAUCUCUCCAACCCUCUCACACGGUGAUACAGAGCCGUACAA
Molecule: non-coding RNA, 465 nt
Organism: Rana temporaria (common frog)
Lineage: Eukaryota; Metazoa; Chordata; Amphibia; Anura; Ranidae
Source: the annotation of a RefSeq genome assembly